Molecule: ribosomal RNA, 466 nt
Filed under: Ponticola syrman (syrman goby)
Lineage: Eukaryota; Metazoa; Chordata; Actinopteri; Gobiiformes; Gobiidae
Description: partial 12S ribosomal RNA
Rfam family: Bacterial small subunit ribosomal RNA
Source: RNAcentral
UUCGCCAGGGAACAACGAGCCCCAGCUUAAAACCCAAAGGACUUGGCGGUGCUUUAGACCCCCCUAGAGGAGCCUGUUCUAGAAUCGAUAUUCCCCGUUCAACCUCACCCCCUCUUGUUUUUCCCGUCUAUAUACCGCCGUCGUCAGCUUACCCUGUGAAGGGCUAAUAGUAAGCAAAAUUGGUAAAACCUAAAACGUCAGGUCAAGGUGUAGCAUACGAGGGGGGAAGAAAUGGGCUACAUUUGCUGUUCCAGCAAAAACGAACGAUGCACUGAAAUGAGCAUCUGAAGGAGGAUUUAGCAGUAAGGGGAGAAUAGAGCGCCCCCCUGAAAAUGGCCCUGAAGCGCGCACACACCGCCCGUCACUCUCCCCAAAAACCUAAAAAAUAUAAAUAAUGAGACAACCAAACAAAGGGGAGGCAAGUCGUAACAUGGUAAGUGUACCGGAAGGUGUACUUGGAUAACCC